RNAcentral lists this ribosomal RNA (410 nucleotides) under uncultured microorganism. Its description in RNAcentral is "bacterial SSU rRNA". It matches the Rfam family "Bacterial small subunit ribosomal RNA", at positions 509 to 917 of the family's 1533-position model. The record is from RNAcentral.
CAGCAGCCGCGGUAAUUCGUAGGGUGCGAGCGUUGAUCGGAUUUACUGGGCGUAAAGCGUGCGCAGGCGGCCCGUUAAGACAGGUGUGAAAUCCCUGGGCUCAACCUAGGAAUUGCGCUUGUGACUGGCGGGCUCGAGUACGGUAGAGGGGGGUGGAAUUCCUGGUGUAGCAGUGAAAUGCGUAGAGAUCAGGCGGAACACCGAUGGCGAAGGCAGCCCCCUGGGCCUGUACUGACGCUCAUGCACGAAAGCGUGGGGAGCAAACAGGAUUAGAUACCCUGGUAGUCCACGCCCUAAACGAUGGGUACUAGCCGUUUGGUGCGCGAUAGCGCUGAGUGGCGAAGCUAACGCGUGAAGUACCCCGCCUGGGGAGUACGGCCGCAAGGUUGAAACUUAAAGGAAUUGGCGGG